CCUACGGGAGGCAGCAGUGAGGAAUAUUGGUCAAUGGACGAGAGUCUGAACCAGCCAAGUAGCGUGAAGGAUGAAUGCCCUAUGGGUUGUAAACUUCUUUUAUAUGGGAAUAAAACGUUCCACGUGUGGGAUUUUGUAUGUACCAUAUGAAUAAGGAUCGGCUAACUCCGUGCCAGCAGCCGCGGUAAUACGGAGGAUCCGAGCGUUAUCCGGAUUUGUUGGGUUUAAAGGGGGCGUAGGUGGUUUGUUAAGUCAGUUGUGAAAGUUUGGGGCUCAACCGUAGAAUUGCAGUUGAAACUGGCAGUCUUGAGUACAGUAGAGGUAGGCGGAAUUCGUGGUGAAGCGGUGAAAUGCUUAGAUAUCACGAAGAACUCCGAUUGCGAAGGCAGUUCACUGGACUGCAACUGACGCUGAGGCUCGAAAGUGUGGGUAUCAAACAGGAUUAGAUACCCCUGUAGUC
RNAcentral lists this ribosomal RNA (460 nucleotides) under uncultured bacterium. RNAcentral describes it as "partial 16S ribosomal RNA". It matches the Rfam family "Bacterial small subunit ribosomal RNA", at positions 338 to 795 of the family's 1533-position model. The record is from RNAcentral.